CCUACGGGUGGCUGCAGUGAGGAAUAUUGGUCAAUGGACGAGAGUCUGAACCAGCCAAGUAGCGUGCAGGAUGACUGCCCUAUGGGUUGUAAACUUCUUUUAUAUGGGAAUAAAAUGUUCCACGUGUGGGAUUUUGUAUGUACCAUAUGAAUAAGGAUCGGCUAACUCCGUGCCAGCAGCCGCGGUAAUACGGAGGGUCCGAGCGUUAUCCGGAUUUAUUGGGUUUAAAGGGAGCGUAGGUGGAUUGUUAAGUCAGUUGUGAAAGUUUGCGGCUCAACCGUAAAAUUGCAGUUGAAACUGGCAGUCUUGAGUACAGGAGAGGUGGGCGGAAUUCGUGGUGUAGCGGUGAAAUGCUUAGAUAUCACGAAGAACUCCGAUUGCGAAGGCAGUUCACUGGACUGCAACUGACACUGAGGCUCGAAAGUGUGGGUAUCAAACAGGAUUAGAUACCCUAGUAGUC
RNAcentral lists this ribosomal RNA (460 nucleotides) under uncultured bacterium. Its description in RNAcentral is "partial 16S ribosomal RNA". It matches the Rfam family "Bacterial small subunit ribosomal RNA", at positions 338 to 795 of the family's 1533-position model. The record is from RNAcentral.